UAAGAUCAAAGUGCAACUGAGCUGUCAUAAGCACAAGAUGCGCCUAAAACCACCCUUAAGACGAUCUUAGCACCCCCGAUCCAUUAAACUCCACGAAAGCUAAGGCUCAAACUGGGAUUAGAUACCCCACUAUGCUUAGCCCUAAAUCCUGAUGCUUAUCCUACCAAAGCAUUCGCCUGAGAACUACGAGCACAAACGCUUAAAACUCUAAGGACUUGGCGGUGCCCCAAACCCACCUAGAGGAGCCUGUUCUAUAAUCGAUAACCCACGAUACACCCGACCACUCCUUGCCAAGGCAGCCUAUAUACCGCCGUCGCCAGCUCACCUCCCCUGAAAGUGAAACAGUGAGCAUAAUAGCAACCCGCUAAUAAGACAGGUCGAGGUAUAGCCUAUGGGGUGGAAGAGAUGGGCUACAUUUUCUAACAUAGAAAAACGGAAGAGGACAUGAAACAAUCCCCAGAAGGCGGAUUUAGCAGUAAAAUGAGAUAAUAAUGCUCACUUUAAGUUGGCCCUGAGGCACGUACAUACCGCCCGUCACCCUCC
Molecule: ribosomal RNA, 543 nt
Filed under: Peltohyas australis (inland dotterel)
Lineage: Eukaryota; Metazoa; Chordata; Aves; Charadriiformes; Charadriidae
Description: partial 12S ribosomal RNA
Rfam family: Bacterial small subunit ribosomal RNA
Source: RNAcentral